UUUGUCGCGUUGUUCGUGAAACCUCACGGCUUAACUGUGAGCGUGCGGGCGAUACGGGCAGACUUGAGUACUGCAGGGGAGACUGGAAUUCCUGGUGUAGCGGUGGAAUGCGCAGAUAUCAGGAGGAACACCGGUGGCGAAGGCGGGUCUCUGGGCAGUAACUGACGCUGAGGAGCGAAAGCGUGGGGAGCGAACAGGAUUAGAUACCCUGGUAGUCCACGCCGUAAACGGUGGGUACUAGGUGUGGGUUUCCUUCCUUGGGAUCCGUGCCGUAGCUAACGCAUUAAGUACCCCGCCUGGGGAAUACGGCCGCAAGGCUAAAACUCAAAGAAAUUGACGGGGGCCCGCACAAGCGGCGGAGCAUGUGGAUUAAUUCGAUGCAACGCGAAGAACCUUACCUGGGUUUGACAUGCACAGGACGCCGGCAGAGAUGUCGGUUCCCUUGUGGCCUGUGUGCAGGUGGUGCAUGGCUGUCGUCAGCUCGUGUCGUGAGAUGUUGGGUUAAGUCCCGCAACGAGCGCAACCCUUGUCUCAUGUUGCCAGCGGGUAAUGCCGGGGACUCGUGAGAGACUGCCGGGGUCAACUCGGAGGAAGGUGGGGAUGACGUCAAGUCAUCAUGCCCCUUAUGUCCAGGGCUUCACACAUGCUACAUGGCCGGUACAAAGGGUGCGAUGCCGCGAGGUUAAGCGAUCCUUUUAGCCGGUCUCAGUUCGGAUCGGGGU
This 722-nucleotide ribosomal RNA is filed under the name uncultured bacterium. RNAcentral describes it as "bacterial SSU rRNA". It matches the Rfam family "Bacterial small subunit ribosomal RNA", at positions 579 to 1304 of the family's 1533-position model. The record is from RNAcentral.